Molecule: ribosomal RNA, 253 nt
Filed under: uncultured bacterium
Lineage: Bacteria
Description: partial 16S ribosomal RNA
Rfam family: Bacterial small subunit ribosomal RNA
Source: RNAcentral
UACGAAGGGGGCUAGCGUUGCUCGGAAUUACUGGGCGUAAAGCGUGCGCAGGCGGGCUUUUAAGCCAGACGUGAAAUCCCCGGGCUUAACCUGGGAAUGGCGUUUGGGACUGGGAGUCUGGAGUGCGGCAGAGGAGACUGGAAUUCCUGGUGUAGCAGUGAAAUGCGUAGAUAUCAGGAGGAACACCGAUGGCGAAGGCAGGUCUCUGGGCUGACACUGACGCUCAUGCACGAAAGCGUGGGGAGCAAACAGG